Molecule: non-coding RNA, 906 nt
Organism: Vombatus ursinus (common wombat)
Lineage: Eukaryota; Metazoa; Chordata; Mammalia; Diprotodontia; Vombatidae
Source: the annotation of a RefSeq genome assembly
CUCCAGUGAGUCUGCAUCAGAACCUGUCACAUAAAUGGAACACGGCUUAACCCCAAGCUUCAGAGAAGACCAGGAGAGAUUCCCACAGGGGAAGAACUGCCAGUAUGCUGCUCCCCAGCCUGCUUUGGUCUAUCACAGCCUUCAUCUGCCUGGGAUGGAGCACAGCCCAAACAGUCACCCAGAGUCCACCAGCAGCUUCUAUUCAGGAGACGGAAGCUGUGACCCUGGAGUGUGUGUAUACUACCAGUGAUCCAUAUUAUUAUUUGUACUGGUACAGACAAUCUCCUAAUGGGAAGCUUAUUUACAUCCUUCUUCAGAGUUCUCAAACCAGUAGUGUAAGAAGAGGUCGAUAUUCUGUGAACUUCCACAAAGAAGCCAAAUCCAUCAGCCUCACCAUCUCGUCCUCACGGCUAGAAGACUCAGGGAUGUAUUUCUGUGGCCUCAGGCGUUCUCACAGUGCAUUAAUUGAUGGAAAAAGCUGUACAAAAACUUCAAAGAUCAACAAGAGACACUUACCCUCACCUGCACCCCCAUUAAAGCAGGUCAGAGAAGAGCCAUUAUUAAGCCCCAGAGCGGAAGUAGGUUGGAAAGAGGAGACUUUAGGUGAGCACAGUGGUAGAGUAUGAAAAGAAAACUGUUGGCAUUCUAGGAAAAACGCUCCCACAGUCCCCUGUCUAGCCAAAGGAUGAUCGUGUAAUAGAUAAAGUCAUAUAGUAAAAUACUAAAAGAAGCUAAAUGCCUACUGAUUGUGGUGGCUGGGUUCAAAUAGUUUGGUUUGGCAGAAGGCAGACACAAACACAGCAGACUCCUCCAGAUCUUUUCAUUGGGUUGACUUUUGAGAUUUAUAGACCUUCACUGGACCUAUUCCUCUCUAGAUUUCCUUCCUCCAUAUCAGGAGGCAGCUAA